Molecule: small RNA, 876 nt
Filed under: Pongo abelii (Sumatran orangutan)
Lineage: Eukaryota; Metazoa; Chordata; Mammalia; Primates; Hominidae
Description: retained intron
Source: RNAcentral
GGAAACUCUAGCCAGGUGAGUGAUGGUGCAGCUGCCAUCCUGCUGGCCCGGAGAUCCAAGGCAGAAGAGUUGGGCCUUCCCAUCCUUGGGGUCCUGAGGUCUUAUGCAGUGGUUGGGGUCCCACCUGACAUCAUGGGCAUUGGACCUGCCUACGCCAUCCCCGUAGCUUUGCAAAAAGCAGGUAAGGUGGCUCCUUCACAUCGUAUCUGGGUCCCACCUGGAUCCUGCAGCUGCCUUGCAUGCUGUUGCCAGGGGCAUGAGGGUGGUCCUGUGGGUGCUGCAGAGUGGAGGUGGGACAGGCUAGUGUCCCAUACUUCAAGCCUUUCCUGACCCCACAGCUGGGAUUGGCUCACCCUUCUGGAAGAGACACACACCAGGCAGCCUGUAGGCCCAUGGAUGGGGUGGGCCCCAGGGGAGGCAGAGGGCCAGUGUGUCAGCUCAGGUCUUUACCUUGUCUGCAGGGCUGACAGUGAGUGACGUGGACAUCUUCGAGAUCAAUGAGGCCUUUGCAAGCCAGGCUGCCUACUGUGUGGAGAAGCUACGACUCCCCCCUGAGAAGGUGAACCCUCUGGGGGGUGCAGUGGCCUUAGGGCACCCACUGGGCUGCACUGGGGCACGACAGGUCAUCACGCUGCUCAAUGAGCUGAAGCGCCGUGGGAAGAGGGCAUAUGGAGUGGUGUCCAUGUGCAUCGGGACUGGAAUGGGAGCCGCUGCCGUCUUUGAAUACCCUGGGAACUGAGUGAGGUCCCAGCCUGGAGGUGCUACGCAGACAGUCCUGCUGCUCUAGCAGCAAGGCAGUAACAUCACAAAAGCAAAACUACAUGGGAAAACUCAGCACUGGUGGUGGUGGCAGUGGACAGAUCAAGGCACUUCAAC